UGAAAUAGUUACUGAUGUUGGCCCGGUUUCACUCAGAGAGGAAGACUGCUUACUGCUGCAUCUGCAUGUACGUAGGAACGUACGUUGUGGUUGGUCUCCUGAAUCUGAUUGAGCCGCGCCAAUAUCUCAGUGCUCUUUCA
This is a non-coding RNA of Malus domestica (apple), 140 nucleotides long. The record is from RefSeq and is marked provisional. NCBI's taxonomy places the organism in Eukaryota, Viridiplantae, Streptophyta, Magnoliopsida, Rosales, Rosaceae.